Molecule: non-coding RNA, 421 nt
Filed under: Pongo abelii (Sumatran orangutan)
Lineage: Eukaryota; Metazoa; Chordata; Mammalia; Primates; Hominidae
Source: RNAcentral
UCAGUGGGGAUUCCCAGGUGCACACAUCUCCUGAGAGAGUCCAGCCCCUCCUGGCGGCUGUGGUCCCUGGAUGCGGGUGCUCGAGGCCUGUUCUUCUCCCUGUGGCAGUGGUGAGUGUAAUGCCUCAGAAGACUCUGCCAGGGCAUUAAACAAAGUCAUACGCGAACCCCCCGGUGCACGGCAGAGGACUUUGUCACCUGUGUGCUCAUGCGUGAGCAACAGCGCCUGAUGACUCUUGGGAAGAGCGAGGGCCUGCAGGCGGCAGUGGCGAGGGAACCCUAGCACACAGGAACUCAAGCAGCUUCAGAGAAGGUCUUACUUGUUUCCAGGGAGAGGCCAGAGGCUCUGGGAACCCAAUUCAAUAUGUAAUAUACAGCGGUGUCCACUCUAGGGUCUAAAGCAAAGGCAAGAGGAGAAAUAA